AACGCGAAGAACCUUACCUGGGCUCGAAAUGGAGUGGACCGGGGUGGAAACAUCCCUUUUCGCAAGAACUGCUCUAUAGGUGCUGCAUGGCUGUCGUCAGCUCGUGUCGUGAGAUGUUGGGUUAAGUCCCGCAACGAGCGCAACCCUUAUCGUUAGUUGCCAGCGGGUUAUGCCGGGCACUCUAGCGAAACCGCCUCGGAUAACGGGGAGGAAGGUGGGGAUGACGUCAAGUCCUCAUGGCCUUUAUGUCCAGGGCUACACACGUGCUACAAUGGUCGGUACAAACCGUCGCAAACCCGCAAGGGGGAGCUAAUCGGAAAAAGCCGACCUCAGUUCGGAUUGGAGUCUGCAACUCGACUCCAUGAAGCUGGAAUCGCUAGUAAUCGCAGAUCAGAACGCUGCGGUGAAUACGUUCCCGGGCCUUGUA
RNAcentral lists this ribosomal RNA (427 nucleotides) under uncultured Acidobacterium sp. RNAcentral describes it as "bacterial SSU rRNA". It matches the Rfam family "Bacterial small subunit ribosomal RNA", at positions 958 to 1385 of the family's 1533-position model. Lineage: Bacteria; Pseudomonadati; Acidobacteriota; Terriglobia; Terriglobales; Acidobacteriaceae. The record is from RNAcentral.